GACGAACGCUGGCGGCGUGCUUAACACAUGCAAGUCGAACGGGUCUGCCCUGUUUUUUGCGGGGUGGGUCAGUGGCGAACGGGUGAGUAACACGUGAGUAACCUGCCCCUCACUUCUGGAUAACCGCUUGAAAGGGUGGCUAAUACGGGGUGUUCUGGCUGUGCCGCAUGGUGUGGCUGGGAAAGAUUCACUUUUGUGGUGUUUUGGUGGGGGAUGGGCUCGCGGCCUAUCAGCUUGUUGGUGGGGUGAUGGCCUGCCAAGGCUUUGACGGGUAGCCGGCCUGAGAGGGUGGGCGGUCACACUGGGACUGAGAUACGGCCCAGACUCCUGCGGGAGGCAGCAGUGGGGGGUAUUGCACAAUGGGCGGAAGCCUGAUGCAGCGACGUCGCGUGAGGGAUGGAGGCCUUCGGGGUGUGAACCUCUUUCGCCGGUGAAGAAGGUCCUGCUCUUUGUGGUGGGGUUGACGGUAGCCGGGUUAUGAAGCGCCGGCUAACUACG
RNAcentral lists this ribosomal RNA (498 nucleotides) under uncultured bacterium. RNAcentral describes it as "partial 16S ribosomal RNA". It matches the Rfam family "Bacterial small subunit ribosomal RNA", at positions 28 to 505 of the family's 1533-position model. The record is from RNAcentral.